RNAcentral lists this ribosomal RNA (93 nucleotides) under Staphylococcus epidermidis. Lineage: Bacteria; Bacillati; Bacillota; Bacilli; Caryophanales; Staphylococcaceae. The record is from RNAcentral.
UCUGGUGACAAUGGCAAGGAGGUCACACCUGUUCCCAUGCCGAACACAGAAGUUAAGCUCCUUAGCGCCGAUGGUAGUCGGACUGACGUUCCG